UAAGUCAAGCCUCAAAAAGACCAAACGGUUGCAAGUACUUGAAUAGCAUCCAGAACAAAACUCAAAAGUAAGGGGGAAAACAUUUUGUUUUUUUUAGAACAAACGAGACCGGGUGUCAGUGGCUCACGCCUGUAAUCCAAGCACUGUGGGAGGCCGAGGCGGAUGGAUCACUUGAGGCUAGGAGUUUGAGAACAGCCUGGCCAACAUGGUGAAACCCCAUCUCUAAAAAUACAAAAAUAAGCCAGGCAUGGUGGCAUGUGCCUGUAAUCCCAGCUACUUGGGAGGCCGAGGCAGGAGAAUCACUUGAACCCAGGAGGUGGAGGUCAGCCUUGUGCUGGAAAGAGCACGACGUGGGUAUGUGAGAAACAAACUCACCCAUCUACACCCGAAGAACGGACUCAGAGACCGGAGAACAGUGAAAAACUAUCCCUAAGAGGCCAGGUGUGGUGGCUCACACCUUGUAAUCCCAACGUUUUGGGAGGCCAAGGCAGGGGAAUCACUCGAGGCCCGGAGUUCAAGACCGGCCUGAACAACAUAGCGAGACCCUGUCUCUACCACAAAAAAGACCCAGAACAUCCUCGCCAGCCUGUGCUCCCUAUGGGGCACCCCCUCCAGUGGAAGUGAGGGCAGCCAUGCACCCCUGGGAAUGCCUUAGAGAGGGGCCAAUUGCCAUCGCCAGGGGCCUGACUCUGCAACCGUCCACACCUACGGGGAGUCCAUUUGAGAGAUGAGGAAGCUGAGGCGCCAGGCCCCUGGCUCCCACCCCCUCUGCUGGUCACCCAACCGCCCGGAACCUGGUGGCCAACCCGCUAUGUCAGUUGCUUGGCAGUGGACUCCUCUCCUGGCUCAGGGAGCGGUUCCAGCAGGCGUCCACCAGGUGGCAGCACCAGCACAUUCUGCAGGCUGUUCGGGCUCAGAGCUCGAUGUAGUGCUCUGGGGGUAACCUGGGCCCCAGACUAUCCCCUCCCAACCCCGGCAGCCCCUCCUCCCGCUCUGUCCAGCUUCCAACACGCCACUCAGGCCCCCCAGCCUUUCUUCCACCGUGGCCCAGGUCAUGACCUUGGCCCCAACUCUGGGCCCUGCCCUGUCUGUCCUUCCUGGUGGUCUGUCAUUCACUCCCUACCCAGGGGAACAGCAGCUGGGGCUGGGGGCAGAUGGCCACGUGGUCCAGUGGUCUCCCUCAUGGCGGCGGCGAAGCUGGGUGGGGUCAAGGGAAGAAGAGGUGGCUCCCAACGGGGGCAGGGCCAGCCAGGGCCUCCCAUCUCCUCUCAGGCCCCGCCUGGAGAUGGGGGAGGAACACCUUCCAUGGGAGGCUGCCCCUGGGCACAGGCCUGCAGACUCCCGCCUCAGCCCACCACACAGCCUGUCCCCAAACCUGCUGGGGUGGCGGUGCCCACCAGGAGGAGCUGGGGAGGACCAGCUGCUCUGAGGAUGCUGGUUGCCUCCCAGGAUGCCCCACUGCCCUCCCUGGCCACCCACUCCUGCACCCAGCAAAGUGAGCCAAAAACUUGAAAAGCAACUUUUAUUGAAGAAUUUGGAGGGAAAUUUUCAUAUUAUAAUAGUAAAAAUACUAAAGUUGAAUGUUGUAAAAAAACGCCGUGGUGCAGCAGCAGCGGCAGCGUCUGGCCAGGAGGGCGUGGAGGGGCCCAGGGAUGGCCACCCCCACAGGGAGUCAGGGAGGGCCCGGGGCGACAGCGGAAAGGUUAAGCGGCAAAAAGGUCAAGUGCUACCGUGGAGAGAUCAUCUGAGGGGGAGGCUCCCGGUGGGACAGUCACCAAGAACUGUGACACAGAAGGGGAAGGGGGAGGGCUUUCCUGUCACAAAGAUUAAAAACCCCCAAAAUGCAUUUGACCAACAUGAUACACAAUAACAAAUUUAAACCUUGCUCCUCUGUCCCACUGGGUAAACCCUGGCCCAUCCCCCAUCCCUGGUCCCAUCCCAGGGGCCCAGCCUCCAAUGACGUCCUCAGAGACACGGCCUUAGUGCUGGGGGCUGCCGUGUGCCUGCCACCCCCAGGAGAGGGUGCCGGCCAGCAUGCCAUAGUGAGGUUGCAUCUGGUGCCACCAGGCUGAACUGAGGCCCAGGGCCCCAGAGAGAUGACAGAUAGCUGGUGACACACAGCCCAGGGCGGCUGGCUGACAGAGUGAGGGGACACGUGGGCAGGACCUGCCCGGCCCCCCAACGCCACAUUGCGCAUAGCUGCAGAAGUCCUUAACAUUUCCCUAUGUGAAUUGGAUUGUUCUGAGGGCUGAGGCCACGUCCGGAGAACAAACUGGAUGAAAUAAAUUAAAACCCGCAGGACAAUUUUCUUCCCUACCCCGCUGCGGGGGAGGGUGCUGCCCACAGCACAAAAACGUCUUUCCACCUGGGCUCAGGAGGACGGCGUGGCUUCUCUCAAAUGCACCCGAGAAAUAAAAACCAUUAAAUACAG
Molecule: long non-coding RNA, 2431 nt
Organism: Pongo pygmaeus (Bornean orangutan)
Lineage: Eukaryota; Metazoa; Chordata; Mammalia; Primates; Hominidae
Exons: 4
Source: RefSeq, a predicted model, not a curated record